Molecule: long non-coding RNA, 1024 nt
Organism: Portunus trituberculatus (swimming crab)
Lineage: Eukaryota; Metazoa; Arthropoda; Malacostraca; Decapoda; Portunidae
Exons: 2
Source: RefSeq, a predicted model, not a curated record
AAAUAGACAAUAAAUAUAAAGACAAAAAUAAGAGAAUAAAAACCAACCAAAAUAUAAUAAAAAAAAAAAAAAGGAAAGAAAUAUGUAAGAGAAAAGAAAAUGGUACACGCCCCUUCCGUUUUCUUUGCGAGGCUCGGGACAGCUUUAACGCAAAUGGCACGGGUAACUUAAGCAAUACGAGCACCAUGGAUACUUAGAAGGCACAGCGGCCGCCGAUUACACAAAGAAAAAUACACUUAAUGGGUAAUAACACAAAAUAAACAAAAGAAUACGGUCAAUACGGAAAGGAUUUGAAAGAGAGAAAGACAGUAGAGAAAACGGGAAUAAAGAAGUGAAAAAGAUAAAUAUACAAAAAUAAGGAAAAUAAAGAGUAAGAAAGUGAGUAAAAUAUAAUAACUGUACAAAAUCAAAGAAAACAGAGAGAGAGAGAGAGAGAGAGAGAGAGAGAGAGAGAGAGAGAGAGAGAGAAGAGCUUGUGUCAUAGUGGUAAGGCGUACGUAAUAAGAUCGUAAGAGGCAACACGAAAGUAACAUAUGAACACAGUCGCGUUAAGAAAUGAUGCCAAUAAGUCACGCUCAUUUUUUUCUCGUGUAAAUCGAAUAUAAACUAAAAUGUAAACUUGUGAACUGGUUUGCAUUGAGAGAUUCACGAAGACCUACAAGAACUGAGGAGGAUUAUUCUUUUCUUCUUCUUCUUCCUUUUCUUUUCUUCUUCCGCUUACCCUUCUUCUAAAUCUGCGUCAGGUAUGCAGAGGAAAAGCGAAGCGAAACAUGAAUAUAAAACAGAAAGACUAUAAAUAAAAUAAAUCUGAUCCUUUUUUUUUUCUCUCUUCUUUUUCUUCUAACUUUUUCAUUUUCGUCAGGUAUAUAGAGGAAAAGCGAAACAUGGGUUAUAAAGAAAAUGUUACUCCUUCAAAAAGAAAAUAAUUCAGAUACUAUUUUUUUCUUCUUCCUCUUUUCCUUUUUCUUCUAUUACUUCUUAAUCUGCUUUGGGUAUGCAGAGGAAAAGCGAAACAUGGGUUUAU